UGUACCCUCCCACUGAAUGUGUGUGUGUAUGUGUACACGUGCAUGCAGAUGUCUGUGAUCUGUGACACUGGCAGGGAAGCAAGAUUUCAGCAUACAUGAAGCUCUGAGGGCUUCUUGGGGAAGAUCCACAAGUCACGAAGCAGAUCUCUUUGACCCAGACUGAAACACCAGAGAAAGAGAGAGACCAACUCAAAGAAAGACCUACCGCAGGGGACACAGGUUAACUGUGGUGUAGUGAAUAAGAAUCCGCAUGCCAGUGCAGGGGACACAGGUUCAAUCCCUGGUCCAGGAAGAUCCCACAUGCCCAUGUGCCACAACUAUCGACAGCCCACGAGCCUCAACUAUUAAGCCCGUGCAUCCCAGCUACUGAAGCCUGUGAGCCUAGAGCCUGUCCACAACGAGAAGCCACGGUAAUGAGAAGCCCACACGCAGCAACUAGAGCAGCCCCUGCCCACCACUAGAGAAAGCCUGCGUGCAGUGAUGAAGACCCAGCACAAC
Long non-coding RNA from Bos taurus (domestic cattle), 498 nucleotides. The record is from Ensembl. NCBI's taxonomy places the organism in Eukaryota, Metazoa, Chordata, Mammalia, Artiodactyla, Bovidae.